RNAcentral lists this ribosomal RNA (465 nucleotides) under uncultured bacterium. RNAcentral describes it as "partial 16S ribosomal RNA". It matches the Rfam family "Bacterial small subunit ribosomal RNA", at positions 28 to 507 of the family's 1533-position model. The record is from RNAcentral.
GACGAACGCUGGCGGCGUGCUUAACACAUGCAAGUCGAACGGAAAGGCCCUGCUUGCAGGGUACUCGAGUGGCGAACGGGUGAGUAACACGUGGGUGAUCUGCCCUGCACUUCGGGAUAAGCCUGGGAAACUGGGUCUAAUACCGGCUAGGAGCCAUUUUUAGUGUGAUGGUUGGAAAGUUUUUUCGGUGUAUGAUGAGCUCGCGGCCUAUCAGCUUGUUGGUGGGGUAAUGGCCUACCAAGGCGGCGACGGGUAGCCGGCCUGAGAGGGUGGACGGCCACACUGGGACUGAGAUACGGCCCAGACUCCUACGGGAGGCAGCAGUGGGGAAGAUUGCACAAUCGGCGCAAGCCUGAUGCAGCGACGCCGCGUGGGGGAUGACGGCCUUCGGGUUGUAAACUCCUUUCGCUAGGGACGAAGCUUUUUGUGACGGUACCUAGAUAAGAAGCACCGGCUAACUACGUG